UACAGAGGUCCCAAGCGUUGUUCGGAUUCACUGGGCGUAAAGCGUGCGUAGGUGGUUCGUUAAGUCUGUCGUGAAAGCCCCGGGCUCAACCUGGGAAUGGCGAUGGAUACUGGCGGGCUAGAGUGCGGUAGAGGAGAGUGGAAUUCCCGGUGUAGCAGUGAAAUGCGUAGAGAUCGGGAGGAACAUCAGUUGCGAAGGCGGCUCUCUGGACCAGCACUGACACUGAGGCACGAAAGCGUGGGGAGCAAACAGG
Molecule: ribosomal RNA, 253 nt
Filed under: uncultured bacterium
Lineage: Bacteria
Description: partial 16S ribosomal RNA
Rfam family: Bacterial small subunit ribosomal RNA
Source: RNAcentral